GCAUUAAUGGGGUAGUGGUAACCUGGGUCGUUGCCAUAUCGGAUUCGACCCGCCGGGAGUUCGAUUCUCUCUUAAUGCA
Non-coding RNA from Tephrocybe rancida, 79 nucleotides. The record is from the annotation of a GenBank genome assembly. NCBI's taxonomy places the organism in Eukaryota, Fungi, Basidiomycota, Agaricomycetes, Agaricales, Lyophyllaceae.